Molecule: RNA transcript, 1521 nt
Organism: Zingiber officinale
Lineage: Eukaryota; Viridiplantae; Streptophyta; Magnoliopsida; Zingiberales; Zingiberaceae
Gene name: protein PLASTID REDOX INSENSITIVE 2, chloroplastic-like
Exons: 6
Source: RefSeq, a predicted model, not a curated record
UGUUGGGCUUCGGCCAAUUUCUUCGUCAUUUCUGCCGUUCGCAUUAUCCGAACCUUCUCGGUUUCGCUUCGCGAUCCGACGUCUCGCUCGCUUCCCUCAGUGGCCGAUCGGCCUCUCCACCCCUUCUCCUUCGAUGAAUGUGGCGAUCGGUACAUCCGCUGGAAGUACUUGGCGAGCGGCAUGGCAGCAGCCCGUCUACCUCUACCCUGAUCCCAUCCCUGAAUUCGCCAAAAUUGAGACGCGGAAGUUCGAGGACGAGCUCCGGAAAAAGCUUGUGAAGAGCAAAGAGGUCUUCAGAGACGACGUGGACGAAGUCGUGAAGAUUUGCGCGGAGCUUCUCGUGCUGCCUUUGGCUCAGAGCUCUGGCGACUUCUGACCAAGAAAAUCCCCACAUACGAUCGCCCGUUAGUUCGCCCCGGAAGACUAGAAAACGGUAAUUAGCACGGCAGAAGAAUAAAGGCACGAGAAAUAAGAACCUCGAGAGCUGAUCAGCCGGUAUACUUGGCCGAGCAGAAGCAUUUCCUUGGGCUUUAGCAGCUUCACCCUAGUAAUCCGGAUGCCGCUGCCAUCCUGCCUCUCAUCUGGCUGGAUGUGGAGGGUGACCAGAGCCACGUGGUAGCCCGGGUUGCUCUUCAUGACGUUGGCAGCGCUCGUCGGCCAGAGUAGCCUCUCCACCUUCCCACCAGGGUGCUGGAUCACCACGGCCGUCGUAUCCACUGCCUGGCAAUUCCCCAUCCUUCUCUAUAUUGCCUUUCCCUGCAGUUGAGUGGUAAUUUAGCACACAGGAUUGAAUGGAGAAGCGUGGCAGGGAAGAAAGGAAUAGAGAAAGGAGCAUUCAACUGCAGCUGCCUUGUUUGAGUUGUCUUAUUUAAUGAGAUAGAACGAGGGAGAAUGAAAACUUCCGUCUACCUUUAAGAACCUUCCACGUGGCAUGAUGUCACUAGUGGGCCAUUAUAGUAUAAGAGCAGGGGGCGUGAGAUUCUUCAUGCCAUGGGAGUGUGAAUGUCAGUGGGAGUGGCCACGUUAUACCAAGAGAAGGUAAGUAGACUGUUGUCACUGAUAGUGAUAUAACAUUGUUGGUUUCUUCGCUACAGCCAGCUUAUGGAAUGGGAUAUGGAGGGCAAAGGCUGCAACUACCUUUCUGUGAUGGUCGCUUGCCCACACUUGAACAAACCUUAUCUUGAUCUGUGGCGCUAAUUAAAUUGGUGCCGUGAGCCUCAGGAAAAAGGGGACUGCACGGCAGACAGAAUGGCUUGUUGCAUGUAGAUAACCACCACCUGAGAGUUGAAGGUAUGAUGCCUUCAAACCUUCAAAUGCUAGCUUGUAUGAUAGCCCCUCAAGGAUUAUUUUUUCUUCAAAGCACUACUCUUCAGUCCAGUGUCAAUACCCCUUCAUUUAGUUCAUAAACGGACUAAACGCCAUUAAGAGGUCAUUUGAAAUGUUGGAGUUAUCACUGUUCAUUGGAUUUAUCUAACAAUCGAGAUUAAGACACCCUAAGCAUAUAAUACUUGCUUUGUUCAA